RNAcentral lists this ribosomal RNA (500 nucleotides) under uncultured bacterium. Its description in RNAcentral is "partial 16S ribosomal RNA". It matches the Rfam family "Bacterial small subunit ribosomal RNA", at positions 29 to 523 of the family's 1533-position model. The record is from RNAcentral.
AUUGAACGCUGGCGGCAUGCUUACACAUGCAAGUCGAACGGCAGCACGGGUGCUUGCACCUGGUGGCGAGUGGCGAACGGGUGAGUAAUACAUCGGAACGUACCUUAUCGUGGGGGAUAACGCAGCGAAAGCUGUGCUAAUACCGCAUACGCCCUGAGGGGGAAAGCGGGGGAUCGCAAGACCUCGCGCGAUUAGAGCGGCCGAUGCCGGAUUAGCUUGUUGGCGGGGUAAAAGCCCACCAAGGAGACGAUCAGUAGCUGGUCUGAGAGGGCGCGCAGCCACACUGGGACUGAGACACGGCCCAGACUCCUACGGGAGGCAGCAGUGGGGAAUUUUGGACAAUGGGGGCAACCCUGAUCCAGCAAUGCCACGUGAGUGAAGAAGGCCUUCGGGUUGUAAAGCUCUUUUGUCAGGGAAGAAACACCGGCUCUAACACAGUCCGGGAAUGACGGUACCUGAAGAAUAAGCACCGGCUAACUACGUGCCAGCCGCCGCCGUAA